This 330-nucleotide long non-coding RNA is filed under the name Olea europaea (common olive). RNAcentral's name for it is "long non-coding RNA (OEUR_LNC007572)". The record is from RNAcentral. Lineage: Eukaryota; Viridiplantae; Streptophyta; Magnoliopsida; Lamiales; Oleaceae.
CUCUCCCUAAUUACGGUGUCCACAGAGAGAUGAAGCAAUUCAUGGAGGAACCACCAUUCACGACCUUCAUCGGCGGCGAAGUUGCUCUCCCAUCGAACCCCGUCAUCUCACCAGUCUCACGCCACUGUACCCUCCAAACAGAAGAUUAAUUAUUUAUCCUCCAACUGAUCUAAUACUCGAUAUAAGUGAUUAGCUGAAGUAGUACGCAGCAAGUGGUGCACUCGUUGGCUUUCAGGGUAAUGAGGUUAUGCCGAUCGACAUUGCACGCUGAUACUUCUCCUCUCAAACUCGAUCCUUGCGAUUUUGCUUUAUAGGGAGGACCUUUUCGAC